AACGAACGCUGGCGGCAGGCUUAACACAUGCAAGUCGAGCGCCCCGCAAGGGGAGCGGCAGACGGGUGGGUAACGCGUGGGAACGUACCUUUUGGUUCGGAACAACUCCGGGAAACUGGAGCUAAUACCGGAUAAGCCCUAACGGGGAAAGAUUUAUCGCCGAAAGAUCGGCCCGCGUCUGAUUAGCUAGUUGGUGAGGUAACGGCUCACCAAGGCGACGAUCAGUAGCUGGUCUGAGAGGAUGAUCAGCCACACUGGGACUGAGACACGGCCCAGACUCCUACGGGAGGCAGCAGUGGGGAAUAUUGGACAAUGGGCGCAAGCCUGAUCCAGCCAUGCCGCGUGAGUGAUGAAGGCCUUAGGGUUGUAAAGCUCUUUUGUCCGGGAAGAUAAUGACUGUACCGGAAGAAUAGGCCCCGGCUAACUUCGUG
Molecule: ribosomal RNA, 431 nt
Filed under: uncultured bacterium
Lineage: Bacteria
Description: partial 16S ribosomal RNA
Rfam family: Bacterial small subunit ribosomal RNA
Source: RNAcentral